GACGAACGCUGGCGGCGUGCUUAACACAUGCAAGUCGAACGGAAAGGCCCUGCUUUUGUGGGGUGCUCGAGUGGCGAACGGGUGAGUAACACGUGAGUAACCUGCCCUUGACUUUGGGAUAACUUCAGGAAACUGGGGCUAAUACCGGAUAGGAGCUCCUGCUGCAUGGUGGGGGUUGGAAAGUUUCGGCGGUUGGGGAUGGACUCGCGGCUUAUCAGCUUGUUGGUGGGGUAGUGGCUUACCAAGGCUUUGACGGGUAGCCGGCCUGAGAGGGUGACCGGCCACGUUGGGGCUGGGGUACGGCCCAGACUCCUACGGGAGGCAGCAGUGGGGAAUAUUGCACAAUGGGCGGAAGCCUGAUGCAGCAACGCCGCGUGCGGGGUGACGGCCUUCGGGUUGUAAACCGCUUUCGCCUGUGACGAAGCGUGAGUGACGGUAAUGGGUAAAGAAGCACCGGCUAACUACGUG
RNAcentral lists this ribosomal RNA (468 nucleotides) under uncultured bacterium. RNAcentral describes it as "partial 16S ribosomal RNA". It matches the Rfam family "Bacterial small subunit ribosomal RNA", at positions 28 to 507 of the family's 1533-position model. The record is from RNAcentral.